This 2087-nucleotide unclassified non-coding RNA is filed under the name Hevea brasiliensis (rubber tree). Lineage: Eukaryota; Viridiplantae; Streptophyta; Magnoliopsida; Malpighiales; Euphorbiaceae. The record is from RNAcentral.
UGCACCAAAUAAACAGCAAUAUUAAGGUAAAGUUCAAUUAUUACCAUGAGGCAACUAAGAUUAGAACAGAGUCACAAAAUAUAAUGAAAUCAUUAGGUUAUGCAGGCCCUUCCUAUUUCCAAUGAGGAUAUGGCAUUCAUGAUGCGUAAACAGAAUAUGCUUAGUUACUUUCUUCUGGUUUCUCCUUAAAUUAUCACAAAGAGUGUUAAAAAGAACUUGCAAUUUUCCCUAUCCAUCUUCCAUUGUGCUUCCUUUUUUCUUAAACUCCAUUUCCAUCUCUCCUUUUAUUUUACAUACUUUGAAAGGCUUUAUUGAAAUUUAUUUAAGUAUAUGGCAAGCCUUGUUAUAUGGCUACGUUCAAUGUUAGGCAUUAAGAGAGCCAAGUCGAGUCAAUACAAUAUCAAGCUCAAACUCGACUCAACUAAAAACUCAAGGCUCAAAACUCAACUCGAUCAAGCUUUCUUUUUCCAUGCUCGAACUCAACUCGAUUAAACAUUUAAAAUACUCGAGCUCAACUUGGCUAGGCUCUGCUCGACUCAUCUAUCAUUAUAAAUUUAAAUAAAAUUUUGUUAAUUUCGAAUUAAAGCUCAAAUAAGGUUUAGUUCAAACUAAAUUUGGUAUUUUCAUCACAUAUAUUUAGGGUAAAAUGGUGAAUACAAUAAUUUACCAUUUAAAUAUCUAAAAUAUAUUAAAACCAUAUAAAAAAAAUUAAAUACUUGAAUAAGCUCGUGAGCUACUUGAAACUCGGUUCGACCCAUUACUCAAACUGCUUGGGCUCGAGCUCAACUCAAUAAAAAUUGACUCAAAUUUGAAUAUUUUGCGAGUCAAGUUCGAGGAGCUUGACUCAUUUAUACCCCUAAUAGGCAUGUUCACCUUGAAAUGCCAACUCUUUGUCAAGGUUGUUAUUUCAAAUGGCAAUGCUUUUGCCAGGAUAGUAUCCCCAGUGCAGGAAAGUAACAGAAGCAGCAAUGCCAUCAGACUUGAUGCAUAAGGAAUUGUGGACUGGGAGCCAAAUGGAGUUUAUCAAACAGAAAAUCACCAUCAAAAUUUUAAAUAAGAAAGUCGAACAGCUCAAUUGAGGUAGGAAAAAGUAGAUGGAGGAGGAAGGAAAAAAGAAGGGAACAAUAGGAGACAUCAAAAAGAAACCAUCGAAGGUAAGAAAGGGAAGAAAAAUCAAAGGAAAAAGCUAAUAUAAUAUAUUCUAAUUUGAUUUUACUGAAAAAGAAGAACUCACAAAACAAAGUUCCUAACAUCAAAAAAUUCAAAAAAGGCACUAUAACUACUGCACUAUCAAUUGAAACAUAAGGGAACCACAUGACAACAGGACAUAAUAGUCAACUAUGAUAAGUUAUAAACUUGUAAUAAUCCAUUGUCACCUUGCUACCCUCAAAAGGUAUGCCAUCACAUUUACACUUUACAAUCAUAAUUGCAUAUGAAUAAAACCUUCUAUGGGAUAGAGAUUGAAUCCUUUGCAGACUGUUUCGCAGCUAACAUAGUAUUAGUAAGAAGCAUCUUCAUGUUUGGUUUAGAGUGAGCAUAAUCUACAGAUUUUCUUCCAUUCAAUUUAUUCAUUUGCAUAAUUUAAUCAAUCCCACUUCAAACAAAAGAUAGAAAAUUAAAAAAUCCAACAAAAUGAGAUGAAUAAAUUAUAUAUUAUUUUGAAGCUCCUUUUGAAAUGAGUUAUUAACUAUAAGAUUAUAUUUUGUGAAGGUUUCCUUGAAAAUGCUUAUAAAAUAAUCAGAACAUUUAAGUUUGUAUCUCCAUACAAACCCAUUGGUUUUUAUCACCCUUCCUCCUAAAUUAUUUGUCAGUUGAAAUUUUUGCAUCAGUACUCAUGUGCAGAAGAGUAUAUGACAACUUUAUAAAGCACUGAGGCACACAAGCAUAGCCUACAUAUCUUGACCUAUGCUAGGAUAAUAUGCUUCUUUUGCAAUAGUUUGAUUUCUUCACAAGUUAGAAACAUUCAGGGAUUACCACAGGUGCUUGUGGAAAUGUAGGGAAUGUAAACUACAUUCAAAAUCUUUAGAUGGUCUCAUUGAACUAGUUUCUUCCAACUAAGCAAGAAAUCAUCUAUAAGAACUGAUCAU